RNAcentral lists this ribosomal RNA (397 nucleotides) under Mataza sp. RNAcentral's name for it is "partial small subunit ribosomal RNA". It matches the Rfam family "Eukaryotic small subunit ribosomal RNA", at positions 582 to 975 of the family's 1831-position model. The record is from RNAcentral. Lineage: Eukaryota; Cercozoa; Thecofilosea.
AUUCCAGCUCCAAUAGCAUAUAUUAAAGUUGUUGCAGUUAAAAAGCUCGUAGUUGGAUUUCUGGCAUGAUGCGCCUUGCCCGCCUCGAUUACGAGUGUGUGUGCGAGCGGGCGUCUGCCAUCCAUUUACAGAAUGUGCCUACCUUUGAUUAGGCCGGGUACGUGAUGUAAAUCUUUUACUUUGAAAAAAUUAGAGUGUUUAAAGCAGGCAUUUGCUAUGAAUACAUUAGCAUGGAAUAAUAAUCUAGGACUUCGGUUCUAUUUUGUUGGUUUCUAGAUCUGGAGUAAUGAUUGAUAGGGAUAGUUGGGGGUGCUAGUAUUAAGGGGCCAGAGGUGAAAUUCUUGGAUUCUCUUAAGACUAACUUAUGCGAAAGCAUUCACCAAGGAUGUCUUCAUUA